Molecule: ribosomal RNA, 405 nt
Filed under: uncultured prokaryote
Description: bacterial SSU rRNA
Rfam family: Bacterial small subunit ribosomal RNA
Source: RNAcentral
UGGGGAAUAUUGGGCAAUGGGCGAAAGCCUGACCCAGCAACGCCGCGUGAAGGAAGAAGGCCUUCGGGUUGUAAACUUCUUUUAUGAGGGACGAAGAAAGUGACGGUACCUCAUGAAUAAGCCACGGCUAACUACGUGCCAGCAGCCGCGGUAAUACGUAGGUGGCAAGCGUUAUCCGGAUUUACUGGGUGUAAAGGGCGCGUAGGCGGGGACGCAAGUCAGAUGUGAAAUCUCCGGGCUUAACCCCGAAACUGCAUUUGAAACUGUGUCGCUUGAGUGUGGGAGAGGUAGAUGGAAUUCCUAGUGUAGCGGUGAAAUGCGUAGAUAUUAGGAGGAACACCAGUGGCGAAGGCGAUCUACUGGACGAUAACUGACGCUGAGGCGCGAAAGCGUGGGGAGCAAACA